This 213-nucleotide ribosomal RNA is filed under the name uncultured bacterium. Its description in RNAcentral is "partial 16S ribosomal RNA". It matches the Rfam family "Bacterial small subunit ribosomal RNA", at positions 524 to 736 of the family's 1533-position model. The record is from RNAcentral.
UACAGAGGGGGCAAGCGUUGUUCGGAAUUACUGGGCGUAGAGGGCGCGUAGGCGGCCUGUUAAGUCGAACGUGAAAUCCCCGGGCUCAACCCGGGAACUGCGUCCGAUACUGGCAGGCUUGAAUCCGGGAGAGGGAUGCGGAAUUCCAGGUGUAGCGGUGAAAUGCGUAGAUAUCUGGAGGAACACCGGUGGCGAAGGCGGCAUCCUGGACCG